This is a long non-coding RNA of Monopterus albus (swamp eel), 161 nucleotides long. RefSeq lists it as uncharacterized. The record is from RefSeq and is a predicted model, not a curated record. Lineage: Eukaryota; Metazoa; Chordata; Actinopteri; Synbranchiformes; Synbranchidae. The transcript has 2 exons.
UACGUCAUAAUAAAGUACUUUUAAAGUUAAAUUGGUUACUUUUUACAAUUAACACUGUCCAUUUUUCUUUAUUUCCUCCAGACCCCAUCCACUUAAGGACUCUGGGUAUCCACUGCUGCAGAAAUACAUAAGCUACAAGAUGUUUAACAUAGUUGUAUAUG